GUCACUCAGGUCACUCAGGGUCACUCAUGGCAGGGUCACUCAGGGUCACUCAGGGUCACUCAGGUCACUCAGGACAGACUCACUCAGGCCAGGGUCACUCAGGGUCACUCAGGGUCACUCAGUAAAAGGUCACUCAGG
Myiozetetes cayanensis is the source of this 138-nucleotide long non-coding RNA. RefSeq lists it as uncharacterized. The transcript has 3 exons. The record is from RefSeq and is a predicted model, not a curated record. Lineage: Eukaryota; Metazoa; Chordata; Aves; Passeriformes; Tyrannidae.